GAUGAACGCUAGCGGCAGGCUUAAUACAUGCAAGUCGAACGGUAACAGCAGAGUUUACUUUGGCUGACGAGUGGCGAACGGGUGAGUAACGCGUACACAAUCUACCUCUGAGAGGGGCAUAGUCUAUGGAAACGUAGAAUAAUACCCCAUGGUAUCUCGAAAUCGCAUGGUUUUGGGAUUAAAGCUUCGGUGCUUAGAGAUGAGUGUGCGUCCUAUUAGUUAGAUGGUAGUGUAACGGACUACCAUGACUAUGAUAGGUAGGGGGCGUGAGAGCGUGGACCCCCACACGGGUACUGAGACACGGACCCG
Molecule: ribosomal RNA, 309 nt
Filed under: uncultured bacterium
Lineage: Bacteria
Description: bacterial SSU rRNA
Rfam family: Bacterial small subunit ribosomal RNA
Source: RNAcentral